Molecule: long non-coding RNA, 1473 nt
Filed under: Elaeis guineensis (African oil palm)
Lineage: Eukaryota; Viridiplantae; Streptophyta; Magnoliopsida; Arecales; Arecaceae
Description: long non-coding RNA (EGUI_LNC053415)
Source: RNAcentral
GGUGCUAGAAAUUAGCAGGUGUUGUUUUAAAUUCAUCUCAUGAAUUAAGACAAGCCUUUUCUGAGCUGGACAAGCUUCAAUUAGACUGAGAGAAACCUUCUCAAGAUUCUCUGGAUGAGCCAGAUCACAUUUGGCUCAGUAGAGACAGAAAAGAUUACACGAGAAGAAAGUUAGGCUCAAUCGAGUACUAGCACGAUUUUCUUGAACCUAACUGGAUCUUAUCCAAAUCAAUUGGGAUAGUCCAAUUGAUGACAUCCAGACCCUAACCCUUGUUUGUGUGAUCCAGUUAGGUUCAAUUCUAUAUGGUAAUGAGACAUGUCGUGAUCUCAUCAUCGACAUCAUCGAAACUUCUUUCGAUGGACCAGAACUCUUCUGAUUCAGAUAAUUAGAAUGAUCGAUUAUUAAAAUCAUUCUAAUUGCUCCCAAAAUCCACUAGUGACACCUAGCAGUAUAUGGUAGCAACCCAUCAAAACUGAAGACGAAUCUCUUGGUGCAGCUACCUGUGUGAUUGAGUUCUUCUAUCAUGAGUCCCGACUGAAUUAGGAUUAAGGUGAACUCGUCAAACUCAACAUCAGUCAUAUGAAUCAAUCGAUCGAUCCGAGUCUGAUGUGAAACCCAAUGGAAAACUCUUUUCCAUUAUUUCACUCUGCCAUGACCAUGGGCUUAAGGAUUCGAUCUUUCGAUCAUCAUAGGACUACUCUUCUCAUCUACCGAGGUUGAUAGAUCCCAUCUUGGUGCGAUCUGGUUCCUACAAUGGAUAUGCUACAGCCAACAUACACCUCAGGGUUCCGAAUGACUAGGAGAUCGAGUUAUGGUGUAUUUAAACUAUAACACACUCAAGGUAAACUAUCGAUGCACCUCAGGUCAAAGAACUAGACACACAACUGCAGCAUCGAGCUAGUCAUCGAUGAGAAGGUAGACUUCUUUAUGACUGCUCGAGGUGGUCACGCUCAGUACUCUCGUUCUCAACGAAUACCUGUACUCUCGCUCUGAUGUUUCCAUACCGUAGACUCAAGACUCAUCUAUCCUAAAGAAUCGAUCGUACACCAACCUUCCAGAUCGAUCAUCAUCCUCGUGAUGAUCCUAUGGUCAGGAGUAGUUUAUGAGUUAGUUAUGUAAAUUCAUGCCUUAAAUUUUCAACUCUUGAAAAUAUGAAUUUACAUUUCCACUAACUUAAAGGAUGUAUCACAGACACAAUGUACACAAUGUGAUAGAAGAAUAACCCUUUUAUUCAUUUAUAGUCAAAAUUAUAAAUUUGUCCUUAGUUCUGUACAGGAAUGUGUCAGCCGAUCUGGCAUCUAGGACACACAUCUAACAAACUCCCACUUGACCUAAUGCCAAUUGGCUACAUAUCUAAGUUCCAUCUUCUCAAGGUGGGCUUCGAUCUUCUGUUGGCCCAAUGGCUUAGUCAGCAGGUCUGCCAUAUUGUCUGUGGAGUCGACUCUCUUGACCUCGACAUAACUUUUUUCGAGG